Beta vulgaris subsp. vulgaris (sugar beet) is the source of this 705-nucleotide long non-coding RNA. RefSeq lists it as uncharacterized. The transcript is spliced from 2 exons. NCBI's taxonomy places the organism in Eukaryota, Viridiplantae, Streptophyta, Magnoliopsida, Caryophyllales, Amaranthaceae. The record is from RefSeq and is a predicted model, not a curated record.
GGUAUUACUCUUAUUUCUGAAUUAAAUUCUGGUUUAUAUAUGUUUAAUUAUUUAUGGAAUUGUACUAGUCUUUGAAUUAUAAAUCUUGUGUUGAUUAGCAAAAUCAAUUUCUACAGAUAAAAAAUUAUCCUUUACUCCUUGAUUAGUACAUUGAGAUAAGUUUUACAACUUUGAAAUAAAAAUUUAGAUCUUUUGUUAAGUUAGUUUACAGAAUCAGAUUUUAGGAGGAAGUCAUGUCUCUGUGAAUUGAGUUAUCAUGAAGAUUGAUGAAUUGAAUUAGAUUAUGGCAUGGGUGGUAUAUAUAAGUUAUAAUAGUCCAAAGAAGAGCUUUAAAAGUAUGAGUGAUUGAAAUUGUUGAUCUAAUUAUAGUGAAAAUUGUUGGUAUCAUUUAGAAAAUCAUAAUUAGCUCAUAAGGUUUAAGAUUGAUUAUGAUCUAUUUGAAGAAUGGUUGUUCAUUAUGUUAUUGUGUUGGGUGAACUAUGUUGGAGUUCGAGUUGGAGUUGAAGAUCAAGAUUAUCAUAAAUGUUCAUGGAGAUUGCAUAUAAUUGUUCUUGGGUUUGAGGUGUAUGUUCGGAUUUCUGGAUGAAUCAAGAGAAAGAGUUUUCAGUUAAGAGAUGGAAAUUAAAUUAGAGAUUCGAAGUUAUAUUUAGCAUAUAAUUGUUGAAUAUUAAGUUCUCAUUUGAUAUUAAGUAUUGUAUUGUUUUG